This is a long non-coding RNA of Callithrix jacchus (white-tufted-ear marmoset), 813 nucleotides long. RefSeq lists it as uncharacterized. The record is from RefSeq and is a predicted model, not a curated record. Lineage: Eukaryota; Metazoa; Chordata; Mammalia; Primates; Cebidae.
GUAUAUAUUUUAUUGCACUUUAGGUUCUGGGGUACAUGUGCAGAACAUGCAGGAUUGUUGCAUAGUUACAUACAUGGCAAUGUGGUUUGCUGCCUCCAUUCCCCUGUCACCUAUAUCUGACAUUUCUUCCCAUGUUAUCCUUCUCCAACCUCCCUAACCUCUACUGUCCCUCUCUAUUUCCCCCCAACAGACCCCAGUGUGUGAGGCUCACCUCCCUGUGUCCACGUGGUCUCAUUGUUCAACACCUGCCUUUGAGGGGAGAAAAAUGCCAGUCUUUAAUGAACUCGGAGCUAAAGUAAAUUAGCUGUUUUCUUCAGGUUUUUUCAAGUAAAGGAUUAUAUCAUCUACAAACAAGGAUAAAUUGACUUCUUCCUUAAUUGUAAGUAUUUUAUUUUUCUCUCUUGUCUAAUUGCUCUAGCUAGGACUUCCAGUACUAUGUUGAGUAACUCUGGUGACAGUGGGCAUUCUUAUUGUGUUCUGAAUCUUAAAGGCUUUGAGCUUUUCCCUAUUCAGUAUGACACUAGUUGUGGAUCUGUUUUAUAUGACUUUAUUAUGUCAAGCCACGUUCCUUCUAUACCCAGUUGUUUAAGGGUUUUUAUCAUGAUGGGAUGUUGAAUUUUAUCAAAUGGUUUUUUAGUAUCAAUUGAAAUGAUCUUCUGGUUAUUGUCCUCCCUUCUGUUGAUAUGAUGUAUUACAUUGACUGAUGGUCUGUGGUUUUCUUUUUUUUGAUAUGUCUUUGUCCGGUUUUGAUAUUAGGGUAAUACUGGCCUCAUAGAGUGAGUUUGGAAGUAUUCUCUCCUCCUCUAUUUUUCA